This is a long non-coding RNA of Notolabrus celidotus (New Zealand spotty), 247 nucleotides long. RefSeq lists it as uncharacterized. The record is from RefSeq and is a predicted model, not a curated record. NCBI's taxonomy places the organism in Eukaryota, Metazoa, Chordata, Actinopteri, Labriformes, Labridae. The transcript is spliced from 2 exons.
AUCAAGAAUGCUCACCUGAUGCUAGUCUGCAAUCAGGCCCGCAACUCUCUCUCUGCAGUACUUAAGCCCAGCUCAGUCCUCCACUCAUUGCCAGAUUGUUACCAAGCAUGAUCUCCAAGCUACACUCUUCUACAACCAAACGCCCAGCUCCAGAACAACAGCCAGCCACUCUCCAUCCAUAACGCACCCUGGAAACCUGAACUCUACCUGCAAGUUAUCUCAUUAAAACCUUGUUUUCAAGACUUCA